GAUGAACGCUGGCGGCGUGCUUAACACAUGCAAGUCGAACGGAUUUUACAUGAAACCUAGUGAUUGUAAAGUUAGUGGCGGACGGGUGAGUAACGCGUGGGUAACCUGCCUUGUACAGGGGGACAACAGUUGGAAACGACUGCUAAUACCGCAUAAUAUAUCGAAAUCGCAUGAUUUUGAUAUCAAAGGAGCAAUCCGCUUGAAGAUGGACUCGCGUCUGAUUAGAUAGUUGGUGGGGUAACGGCCUACCAAGGCGACGAUCAGUAGCCGACCUGAGAGGGUGACCGGCCACAUUGGGACUGAGACACGGCCCAAACUCCUACGGGAGGCAGCAGUGGGGAAUC
Molecule: ribosomal RNA, 344 nt
Filed under: uncultured bacterium
Lineage: Bacteria
Description: bacterial SSU rRNA
Rfam family: Bacterial small subunit ribosomal RNA
Source: RNAcentral